CAUUGAAAAGCUUUACAUAGCAUCAGCCUUUUAAGCUGAAGAUGGGGGGAAUCCCCCUUCAAUGAC
This 66-nucleotide transfer RNA is filed under the name Dibamus novaeguineae. RNAcentral's name for it is "tRNA-Lys". It matches the Rfam family "tRNA". From Rfam's summary of the family: Transfer RNA (tRNA) molecules are approximately 80 nucleotides in length. Their secondary structure includes four short double-helical elements and three loops (D, anti-codon, and T loops). The record is from RNAcentral. Lineage: Eukaryota; Metazoa; Chordata; Lepidosauria; Squamata; Dibamidae.